GAUGAACGCUGGCGGCGUGCCUAAUACAUGCAAGUCGAGCGAACGGACGAGAAGCUUGCUUCUCUGAUGUUAGCGGCGGACGGGUGAGUAACACGUGGAUAACCUACCUAUAAGACUGGGAUAACUUCGGGAAACCGGAGCUAAUACCGGAUGAUAUUUUGAACCGCAUGGUUCAAAAGUGAAAGACGGUCUUGCUGUCACUUAUAGAUGGAUCCGCGCUGCAUUAGCUAGUUGGUAAGGUAACGGCUUACCAAGGCAACGUUGCAUAGCCGACCUGAGAGGGGAAUCGGCAAAAUGGGAACGGAGACAGGGUCAGGAUCCCAAGGGGAGGCACCGGUGGGGAUUCUUCCGCAAGGGGCGAAAGCCUGACGGAGCAACGCGGCGGGAGUGAUGAGGGUCUUCGGAUCGUAAAACUCUGUUAUUAGGGAAAAACAUAUGUGUAAGUAACUGUGCACAUCUGAACGGUACCGAAGCAGAAAGCCACGGCUAACUACGG
RNAcentral lists this ribosomal RNA (496 nucleotides) under uncultured bacterium. RNAcentral's name for it is "partial 16S ribosomal RNA". It matches the Rfam family "Bacterial small subunit ribosomal RNA", at positions 28 to 506 of the family's 1533-position model. The record is from RNAcentral.